Long non-coding RNA from Octopus bimaculoides (California two-spot octopus), 345 nucleotides. The record is from RefSeq and is a predicted model, not a curated record. NCBI's taxonomy places the organism in Eukaryota, Metazoa, Mollusca, Cephalopoda, Octopoda, Octopodidae.
GAUCGAGUCAGUGCCGUAAUUGUAUGCAUUUCGUUGACUAUCUGCUGGUUUUUUAAAGUAUUUCGUAGGGAUUCCCAAAACAAGUCUCGAGUUUGUUAGCAGGGGGAACGACAUUCCUUUCUACACCGUUUGUUUUAUUGACUCGUGCACACCUUACCCCCAAAGUUCAACUUGUUUCGCUCGUCUUUGGUAACGGCUAAAGUAAUGUCUACAUCGACUGAAACCUUUUCCACAAAAUGAAGAAUUCUAUUAUUGUGUUGAAAACCAGCAGUGAAAAAGAAAAUGUAAUUUUAAUGAAGACAUAUUGGAAUGCAUCUAGCAAACAAUAAAAACACUUUUUUAAGA